UUUGGACAAUAUGCGAAAGCAUGAUCCAGCGAACUAAUGGAAACGAAGAAGAUAGCGAUAUUGUAAAGUUUAGUGCGAGAAUUAACAAAUGAGUAAAUUCUAAGAGAAGCUCUGGCUAAUACAUGUGCCAGCAGCCGCGGUAAUACAUGAGGAGCAAGCGUUACCCACAUUGACUGGGUGUAUUAAAUACAUAGGUGAUUACAAUUACUAUUAUAAAAAUCAAUUAAAAAACCAAUAUAAUAGAUUUUUUGUAAAUGAUAAUUAAAUAUAAGAAUAGGAGAUUUAUAGAACAACGAUUAAAUGUAGUUACACUAUAAAGCUUGCCAUAAACUAAGGUGCUUUUCUAUAUUUAAUUAUAGCUGAUGUAUGAAAGUAUGGGUAUCGAUAAGGAUUAGUUUCCCUAGUAGUCCGUACUGUAAAAGAUGAAUACUUCAUGAAUUAAAAAUUCAGGGAUAGCUAACGCAAAGUAUUCUACUCGGGGAGUAUAAUCGCAAGAUUAAAACUUAACUGAAUUGGCGGG
This 520-nucleotide ribosomal RNA is filed under the name Tetrahymena elliotti. Its description in RNAcentral is "SSU rRNA". It matches the Rfam family "Bacterial small subunit ribosomal RNA", at positions 363 to 917 of the family's 1533-position model. Lineage: Eukaryota; Ciliophora; Oligohymenophorea; Hymenostomatida; Tetrahymenidae. The record is from RNAcentral.